This is a long non-coding RNA of Mandrillus leucophaeus (drill), 1393 nucleotides long. RefSeq lists it as uncharacterized. The record is from RefSeq and is a predicted model, not a curated record. The transcript has 3 exons. NCBI's taxonomy places the organism in Eukaryota, Metazoa, Chordata, Mammalia, Primates, Cercopithecidae.
UCCUGCCUCGGCCUCCCGAGUAGCUGGGAUUACAGGUGCCUGCCACCAUGUCUGGCUAAUUUUUGUAUUUUUAGUAGAGAGGAGGUUUCACCACGUUGGCCAGGCUGGUCUCGAACUCCUGACCUCAGGUUAUCCACCCGCUUCAGCCUCCCAAAGUGCUGGGAUUACAGGCAUGAGCCACUGCACCCAGGCCUGAAAUUAACAUUUGAGACAGUGGACUGGGAGAGGCAGACCCUCCCUCAAUCUGGGUGGGCACCAUCUAAUCAGCUGCCAGCACAGCUAGGAUAAAAGCAGGCAGAGGAACGUGGAAGGACUAGACUGGCUGACUCUUCCAGCCUUCAUCUGUCUCCUGUGCCAGAUGCUUCCUGCCUUCGAACAUUGAAUUUCAAGUUCUUCAGCUUUUGGGUUCUUGGACUUACACCAGUGGUUUGCCAGGGGCUCUCCAGCCAUCAGCCACAGACUGAAGGCUGUACUGUUGGCUUCCCUACUUUUGAGGUUUUGGGACUCGGACUGGCCUCCUUGCUCCUCAGCUUGCAGACGGCCUAUUGUGGGACUUCAUCUUAUGAUCGUGACCUGGCUUCUUGAGACUGGAAUAGAAGAAGGGGGAAAAGCCUAGGACAAUAAGCUGAUCCAGUCAAAACUGCUUCUGAGACUCUUCUGGGUGAAAGAGCCCCUACAGUGAUGGCUGACUUCAACACUGCCUGGGAGAGGCCUGGCACCCAUAACAUCUGAGACAUCUCUACCAACUGGGAUCUUCUUUCAAGUUGAGUCAAAAACAGUCAAAGGUGGCCCUGUUCUUCCAACAACCCAUGUCUGAUACAGUCUCAAAUCCUUUUCUAAAGAAGGCAAGGAUAAGAAAGGCAAAUGGAUCCUCAUCCAGAAAUGGAUUAUAGAACUAAACCUGUAUCACCGCAGUUGGAGAUUUCACAAGAAUAUGGCCCCACCUGGUCCUGUUGGGUUUGGUAGGGUUCAAAACAUGCUACCCCAAAUUAUGGCACCUUGGCAUAUUGAAUAUUUUAAGCUGAAGGAAUUUGAGAAGCAGCCUGUGCAGGAAGGACUCUCUAAUCUCCCCUUUCUCCCCAGAGCACAUCGUAAGACCCUCACGGAAGAGGUGUCCUUCCUGUAACUGGAGGAAGGGAGCAUCCUUAUGUCAGAAGAUGGAAGGAUUCUGAGAGGAAUUUGAGGGAAUGGGCCUUGCUAUGUUUCCCCCAGUUUACUAUCCUUAGUUCAUAUCCUUUGUCCUGUCACAUUUUCCCACAACACUCCACUCUUCAUUAAACCAAAUAUAAAAGUGCUCAGGCUUAACCUGACUGGCUUAACCUCAAGCUAACCAUUCUUUGGGUCUUCCUUUCCUUAUGAAGGCUCCUAUGUCAUGUGAAACUUAUAUGAAAUA